RNAcentral lists this ribosomal RNA (357 nucleotides) under gamma proteobacterium FA4a. RNAcentral describes it as "bacterial SSU rRNA". It matches the Rfam family "Bacterial small subunit ribosomal RNA", at positions 955 to 1311 of the family's 1533-position model. Lineage: Bacteria; Pseudomonadati; Pseudomonadota; Gammaproteobacteria. The record is from RNAcentral.
GGCAACGCGAAGAACCUUACCUACUCUUGACAUCCAGAGAACUUUCCAGAGAUGGNUUGGUGCCUUCGGGAACUCUGAGACAGGUGCUGCAUGGCUGUCGUCAGCUCGUGUUGUGAAAUGUUGGGUUAAGUCCCGCAACGAGCGCAACCCUUAUCCUUUGUUGCCAGCGGUCCGGCCGGGAACUCAAAGGAGACUGCCAGUGAUAAACUGGAGGAAGGUGGGGAUGACGUCAAGUCAUCAUGGCCCUUACGAGUAGGGCUACACACGUGCUACAAUGGCGCAUACAAAGAGAAGCGACCUCGCGAGAGCAAGCGGACCUCAUAAAGUGCGUCGUAGUCCGGAUUGGAGAGUAGCUAU